GUGCUCGCUUUGGCAGCAUAUAUACUAAAAUUGGAACGAUACAGAGAUUAGCAUCCCCUGAGCAAGGAUGACACGCAAAUUCGUGAAGCGUUCCAUUUUUUU
This 102-nucleotide small nuclear RNA is filed under the name Dasypus novemcinctus (nine-banded armadillo). Lineage: Eukaryota; Metazoa; Chordata; Mammalia; Cingulata; Dasypodidae. The record is from RNAcentral.